RNAcentral lists this ribosomal RNA (499 nucleotides) under uncultured Glomeromycotina. RNAcentral's name for it is "partial small subunit ribosomal RNA". It matches the Rfam family "Eukaryotic small subunit ribosomal RNA", at positions 591 to 1092 of the family's 1831-position model. Lineage: Eukaryota; Fungi; Glomeromycota. The record is from RNAcentral.
CCAAUAGCGUAUAUUAAAGUUGUUGCAGUUAAAAAGCUCGUAGUUGAAUUUCGGGGUCAGUAGGUCGGUCGUGCCACUGGUAUGAACUGGUUUCACUGAUUCCUCCCUCUUGUAGAACCGUGAUGCCAUUAAUUUGGUGUUGCGGGGAAACAGGACUGUUACUUUGAAAAAAUUAGAGUGUUUAAAGCAAGCUAACGCUUGAAUACAUUAGCAUGGAAUAAUGAAAUAGGACGUCGAUCUUAUUUUGUUGGUUUCUAGGGUUGACGUAAUGAUUAAUAGGGAUAUUUGGGGGCAUUAGUAUUCAAUUGUCAGAGGUGAAAUUCUUGGAUUUAUUGAAGACUAACUACUGCGAAAGCAUUUGCCAAGGAUGUUUUCAUUAAUCAAGAACGAAAGUUAGGGGAUCGAAGACGAUCAGAUACCGUCGUAGUCUUAACCAUAAACUAUGCCGACUAGGGAUCGGAUGAUGUUAAUUUUUUAAUGACUCAUUCGGCGCCUUACG